UAGGGAAUUUUUCGGGCAAAUGGGACGGAAGUCUGACCGAGCAACGCCGCGUGAAUGAAGAAGUAUUUCGGUAUGUAAAGUUCUUUUAUUUGGGAAGAAAAAACAAAUUGACGGUACCAAAUGAAUAAGCCCCGGCUAACUACGUGCCAGCAGCCGCGGUAAUACGUAGGGGGCAAGCGUUAUCCGGAAUUAUUGGGCGUAAAGGGUGCGUAGGCGGGUUAUCAAGUCUUUGGUUAAAAUGCGGUGCUCAACGCCGUAUCGCCAAAGAACUGAUAGUCUAGAGUAUGGUAGAAGUGAGUGGAACUCCAUGUGUAGCGGUAAAAUGCGUAAAUAUAUGGAAGAACACCAGUGGCGAAGGCGGCUCACUAGGCCAAUACUGACGCUGAGACACGAAAGCGUGGGGAGCAAACAGGAUUAGAUACCCUGGUAGU
This 431-nucleotide ribosomal RNA is filed under the name uncultured Acholeplasma sp. Its description in RNAcentral is "bacterial SSU rRNA". It matches the Rfam family "Bacterial small subunit ribosomal RNA", at positions 355 to 794 of the family's 1533-position model. The record is from RNAcentral. Lineage: Bacteria; Bacillati; Mycoplasmatota; Mollicutes; Acholeplasmatales; Acholeplasmataceae.